CCCUUGUGGAGGAGGACGCCGAAGGUGGGGCUAAUGACUGGGGUGAAGUCGUAACAAGGUAGCCGUACCGGAAGGUGCGGCUGGAUCACCUCCUAACAGGGAGACAACAAAAUGUUUAAUAUUAUUAUUUUGUCACCUUAGGUCGAUCGGUAUCUCACGUUCUUAAUUAAUUAAGAAUUUCAUUUCCUAAGUUUUUCUAGGUCACACCCAUUAUUUUUCCUGGGCCAUUAGCUCAGGUGGUUAGAGCGCACCCCUGAUAAGGGUGAGGUCCCUGGUUCAAGUCCAGGAUGGCCCAUAUCUCUAUGUUGGGGGUAUAGCUCAGUUGGUAGAGCGCCUGCUUUGCAAGCAGGAUGUCAGCGGUUCGAGUCCGCUUACCUCCACUGAUUACCACCUCUUCCAUAAUCUGUAGAAAGGAAAUCUUUUGAGUUGUGAUCAAAUUCUGAACGAAUCUAGCUUCCUAAUGAAAGCAUUAAGAUGCUGGACUCAUUGAAUUAAUUUCAUUGUUUUCAGAGAACCUUGACAACUGCAUAGAUUAUUUUUAAAGACAAUAAGCAUCUUUAAUGAUGCAGAUUUAUUAUUUGUGCGAAUGCAUUAAUAACAAUUCUAUUAAGCUGAUGCUUCAAUUUUGAAGUUAUUGGUCAAGCUACAAAGGGCUCACGGAGGAUACCUAGGCACACAGAGGC
This 683-nucleotide unclassified non-coding RNA is filed under the name uncultured Prochlorococcus sp. RNAcentral describes it as "partial may contain 16S ribosomal RNA, 16S-23S ribosomal RNA intergenic spacer, and 23S ribosomal RNA". The stretch from base 1 to 96 matches the Rfam family "Bacterial small subunit ribosomal RNA", at positions 1438 to 1533 of the family's 1533-position model. The record is from RNAcentral. Lineage: Bacteria; Bacillati; Cyanobacteriota; Cyanophyceae; Synechococcales; Prochlorococcaceae.